This 481-nucleotide ribosomal RNA is filed under the name uncultured bacterium. RNAcentral describes it as "partial 16S ribosomal RNA". It matches the Rfam family "Bacterial small subunit ribosomal RNA", at positions 28 to 523 of the family's 1533-position model. The record is from RNAcentral.
GACGAACGCUGGCGGCGUGCUUAACACAUGCAAGUCGAACGCUGAAGCCCUUUCGGGGGUGGAUGAGUGGCGAACGGGUGCGUAACACGUGGGUAAUCUGCCCUGCACUCUGGGAUAAGCCUUGGAAACGGGGUCUAAUACCGGAUAGGACACAUCGCCGCAUGGUGUGCGUGUGGAAAGUUCCGGCGGUGCAGGUUGAGCACGCGGCCUAUCAGCUUGUUGGUGGGGUGAUGGCCUACCAAGGCGACGACGGGUAGCCGGCCUGAGGGGGUGACCGGCCACACUGGGACUGAGACACGGCCCAGACUCCUACGGGAGGCAGCAGUGGGGAAUCUUGCGCAAUGGGCGAAAGCCUGACGCAGCAACGCCGCGUGGGGGAUGACGGCCUUCGGGUUGUAAACCUCUUUCGACCGGGACGAAGGGUAACUGACGGUACCGGUAGAAGAAGCACCGGCUAACUACGUGCCAGCCGCCGCCGUAA